AUGUCAUUCGGAUUGGAUAAGUGUAGUCGGAUGGUAACAAAGAGAGGGAAGGUAGUCAGAACUGAGGGGAUUGUACUACCAGAAGGCAACAUAGCAGAUGUUGAGGACAGCUACAAGUACCUUGGAAUCCCGCAGGUGCAUGGGAAUCAUGAAGAGGCCGCAAGGAAAGCAGCAACUGCCAAAUACCUGCAGAGAGUAAAGCAAGUCCUGAGAAGUCAGCUGAAUGGGAAGAACAAGGUCCGGGCUAUCAACACCUAUGACCUGCUGGUCAUCAGAUACCCCGCUGGCAUAAUAAGCUUGCCAAAAGAGGAGAUAGAAGCCACUGACAUCAAGACAAGGAAGCUCCUGACAAUGCAUGGAGGGUUUCACCCCAAAUCCAGCACCCUGAGGCUGUACACUAAGCGGAAAGAAGGAGGCCGAGGACUAGUGAGCGUCAGAGCCACUAUCCAGGAUGAAACAACAAAGAUCCUUGACUACAUCAGGAAGAUGGCCCCGACUGAUGAGAUACUUAGUGAAUACCUCAGGCAGCAGAAACCCGAGAAGGAGGACGAGGAAGAACAGGAACCACCAUGGAAGUACAAACCCCUACACGGUAUGUACCACCGGCAGAUUGAAGAAGGGGCUGAUAUCGAAAAAUCAUACCAGCGGCUGGACAAAGCUGGACUGAAAGACAGCACAGAGGCACUAAUCAUAGCAGCACAGGAACAAGCGCUAAGUACAAGAUCAAUAGAGGCCGGGGUCUACCACACCAGGCAGGACCCCAGGUGCAGGCUGUGCAAAGAUGCCCCUGAGACAAUCCAGCACAUAACAGCAGGGUGUAAGAUGCUAGCAGGCAAGGCAUACAUGGAACGCCAUAACCAAGUGGCUGGCAUAGAGUACAGGAACAUCUGUGCCGAGUAUGGGCUGGAAGUCCUAAGAUCAAAGUGGGAUACACCCCCAAGGGUGGUCGAGAAUGACCAAGCUAAGAUCUUGUGGGACUUCCAGAUCCAGACUGACAAACUGGUAAUGGCUAACCAACCAGACAUAGUAGUGGUGGACAAACAGAGGAAGAAAGCCGUAGUGAUAGAUGUCGCCAUCCCAAGCGAUGGCAACAUCAGAAAGAAAGAACAUGAGAAGCUUGAGAAAUACCAAGGACUGAGAGAGGAGCUAGGAAAGAUGUGGAAGGUGAAGGCAACAGUGGUCCCCGUGGUAAUCGGAACACUUGGGGCUGUGACCCCUAAGCUGGGAGAGUGGCUCCGGCAGAUCCCGGGAACAACAUCCGAGAUCUCUGUCCAGAAGAGCGCGGUCCUAGGAACAGCUAAGAUACUGCGCAGAACUCUCAAGCUCCCAGGCCUCUGGUAG
RNAcentral lists this long non-coding RNA (1341 nucleotides) under Scleropages formosus (Asian bonytongue). RNAcentral's name for it is "lncRNA (ENSSFOG00015027623.1)". Lineage: Eukaryota; Metazoa; Chordata; Actinopteri; Osteoglossiformes; Osteoglossidae. The record is from RNAcentral.